ACAUAGCAUGAAUUUACUGCCUCGUUGACCUAUGGGGCAGUCAACACUACUAAAAAAUCACCCUAAUGCCACGACAGAUAUUGCAACAACAAUAUUUUUGUUGCAUUAGAUUUUAUUUAUUGCCACGACCUUUAAAAGUGGUUGCAAUAUAUGGACCGUUUUGCCACUUUUUUGUGCAUUGCGAUAACCAUGACUUUCGUUGCAAGAGAAAGGUGUUAUUGCGACCACUAGAACAGUUGUUGCAAAAUCACCCUAAUGCCAUGACAUAUAUUGCAACAACAAUAUUUUUGUUGCAUUUGAUAUUAUUUAUUGCCACGACCUUUAAAAGUGGUUGCAAUAUAUGGACCGUUUCACCAUUUUUUUGUGCAUUGCGAUAACCAUGACUUUCAUUGCAAGAGAAAGGUGUUAUUGCGACCACUAGAACAGUUGUUGCAAAAUUACUCUAGUGUCACACCGGAUAUUGAAACAACAAUAAAGUUGUAGCAUUAGGUGUUACUUAUUGCCACAGCCUUUAAAAGUGGUUGCAAUUUAUGCACCUUUUUUGCCACUUUACUUGUGCGUUGCAAUAAUCAUGACUUUCGUAGCAAGAGAAAGAUGUUAUUGCUACCACUAGAAUAGUUGUUGCAAAAUGUCCCUAGUGGCUCACUAGAUAUUACAAUAUUAGUAAAGUUGUAGCAUUACGUGUUAGUUAUUGCCACAGCCUUUAAAAGUGGUUGCAAUAUAUGCAUCUUUUUGCCACUUUAUUUGUGCGUUGCAAUAAUCAUGACUUUCGUUGCAAGAGAAAGAUGUUAUUGCUAUCACUAGAACAGUUGUUGCAAAAUGUCCCUAGUGGCUCACUGGAUAUUACAACAUCAGUAAAGUGGUAGCAUUAGUAGCAGUGUAGAGCGAGACGCGACAUGUGUGUAGAAUUCUUUUUUUCAUCCAAACCGACUGGGCGUGCAGGGAGGGUGAGGCCACCCUGUGUCAUAUACUCUCAUGUCUGCGCAAGGCCAAGGAAAUCGUAGUAUAUACGGACCUACCGCGCGCGACAUGUCUAAGCCGUGAUCCAACUUUGCGUUCUGUGUCUGGAUCGCGAUGGGAAAUAUAUUCAAUUUAUUGAUACAUUACAAGAAAAAUACAAAGAACAAUCUAGAAGUUUCUGUUCUCUCAGACACACAUCAAUAAAACACGCAGGUGAAUAAAAUACAAUUUUUAUUUCUUUUGUAGUUGUGCAUGCAAUGGAUUUUAGUAGCCUAAACAGAUUUUAGUUAACCAUAGGAGCAGUACACAUGUUUGUGGCUCUAUGCAGCAUGCUUAUUUGGUAGCUUGUUUUCGCUCUUGUUAGGCUGGUGCUGCAGCUGCCUUCUCUGGUAGAGAUAGAGUAGAACGCUUGCUGCUACGUGCUUCCUGUUUGCUGCGUGCUACUGUUUGUUGAUUGCCGCUGCUAGCUGCGUGCUGCUGCAUGUUGUUGCUGAUGCUUACUGAUGCUGCUUGCUAGGAGUUGUGCUAUAGCUGUAGCUGUAGGCACUACAGUUGUAGUCUUCCACUAAUGAUUAACCAAGUUAUUGUAGCUUUACUAAUUAUUGUUUUGAACACUUCCAACAAGUUCCUUGUCGUCGUGAUAUCGUCGUCAGCCUAGCUAACCAUCGCUCGCAUCAAUGGAGGGGGUGGAGGGGUACACGAUGGCAAAAAAACUUCCAAUAAUUUGCUAGUCCUGAGUAGUUUAUUAUCUAUGUUAUCACAAUCCAAGCUAGUAUGAGGAUGUUGUGAUUGUGAGCUAUGUUAUCAAAUUAAUUUGUAUUUGGCCACUAUUUAUUUGGUGCAACCUAUUUGUUACAACUUAUGGUAUGUAUAUAGUUAAUAUAUGAGACAAGAGACAAAUAUUAUGGUUUUCAAUUUUGAUUCUGGCGUUACUGAUGUAAAAUAUAAUUCUUUUGCAUAACAUUUUAUACCCAAUAGAAAUGCAAAAUGCAUUGUCGUAUAAAUUGUGGGUUUGAAUAUAUGUAAAUGCAACGGUUUUAUUGGUUGUUGUAUGGUUCAGUUGCAAUGAUUUUUUUGUUGCAAUAAGAUGUAAUUACCAUGGAUCUAUUUCGUUGGGACUUCAGUAGUCGCAACAUUUUCUUCUUGUUGCAACAUCAUUAGUUACGAUAUUUUUUGUUGUUGUUAUAACGGUUCUUACCACAAAUAUUUUUUAUAGCAAAAAGGUCAUGUAGCCACAAGACACAUUAUGUUGCAAAAUGAUCAAAUGCAACGAAAUUAUUUGCAUGGCAAUACAUCUUGUUGCCACGAGUCACUUGUGUGGCACUAGUGUUUUGUUGCCACGAAGCAUCUUGUGGUAACAAAGCCAUUUGCAACAGAUUUAAACGUGGCAUUAACACUUAUUACCAUGAAAUAUGUUGUGGCAAUAGAGUUUUUAGCAACUAGCGUAACUGUUGCAAUAUAACUUAUUGCAACAGAAUAGUCUAUUGUAACAACGAACUACUGCAACACUUGAAUACGUUGCAAAAGAUGUAGUAAUUGCAACAGAACGUAAAAUUGUUGCUAUAGCCUAUUGCCACUCUGUUUUCUGCAACAGCAGGCAACGACAGUUGUUCUAUCGCAAUUGGUGCCUAUCGCAACGAUUUAUGGUCUAUCGCAACGAUUUAUGCCCAUUGCAACAAGGUGAUUUUUUAGUAGUGCAAAUUUGCUCAAGCUAUGGGGCCUUCAGUUGAUGCUGAAGAUAUUGAAUGUAUGAAGGGAUUAUUUCACUAGUUGUAUGUUCAUCUAAAGGGAUGGUUACAUUAUCUCAAGGAUGAAAUUUGUGCUUCAUGUGACUUGAUUUCCCAUCAGUUUCAAAUAGUGAUAAUUAGAAUACAACAGAAAAAUAGCUCUUUCUGCAAAUUUUUCAUCAUCCAUAAUUGUAAGUUGUGAAGACCGAUGGACUUUUUGAUGCUUCAAGUUGGAGUUACACAAUAUAAUAAGAUUCUGCCAGUGAGGCGUU
Molecule: long non-coding RNA, 2959 nt
Filed under: Zea mays
Lineage: Eukaryota; Viridiplantae; Streptophyta; Magnoliopsida; Poales; Poaceae
Description: long non-coding RNA (ZMAY_LNC001068)
Source: RNAcentral